GGAAAUGUGGCUUAGUGGUAGAGUGCUUGCCUAGAAUGCAUGGAACCUGGGUUUGAUUCCUCAAUACCA
This 69-nucleotide transfer RNA is filed under the name Dipodomys ordii (Ord's kangaroo rat). It matches the Rfam family "tRNA". From Rfam's summary of the family: Transfer RNA (tRNA) molecules are approximately 80 nucleotides in length. Their secondary structure includes four short double-helical elements and three loops (D, anti-codon, and T loops). Lineage: Eukaryota; Metazoa; Chordata; Mammalia; Rodentia; Heteromyidae. The record is from Rfam by way of RNAcentral.